GACGAACGCUGGCGGCGUGCCUAAUACAUGCAAGUCGUGCGGACCUUGUUGAAAGCUUGCUUUUAAAAGGUUAGCGGCGGACGGGUGAGUAACACGUGGGCAACCUGCCUGUAAGACUGGGAUAACGCCGGGAAACCGGGGCUACUACCAGAUCGUUUUUUCCUCCGCAUGGAGGAAAAAGGAAAGGCGGCUUCGGCUGCCACUUACAGAUGGGCCCGCGGCGCAUUAGCUAGUUGGCGGGGUAAUGGCCCACCAAGGCAACGAUGCGUAGCCGACCUGAGAGGGUGAUCGGCCAAAUUGGGACUGAGACACGGCCCAAACUCCCACGGGAAGCAGCAGUAGGGAAUCUUCCGCAAGGGACGAAAGUCUGACGGAGCAACGCCGGGUGAGUGAAGAAGGCCUUCGGGUCGUAAAACUCUGUUGCCGGGGAAGAACAAGUGCCGUUCGAACAGGGCGGCGCCUUGACGGUACCCGGCCAGAAAGCCACGGCUAACUACGUG
This 500-nucleotide ribosomal RNA is filed under the name uncultured bacterium. Its description in RNAcentral is "partial 16S ribosomal RNA". It matches the Rfam family "Bacterial small subunit ribosomal RNA", at positions 28 to 507 of the family's 1533-position model. The record is from RNAcentral.